GACGAACGCUGGCGGCGUGCUUAACACAUGCAAGUCGAACGGAAAGGCCCUGCUUUUGUGGGGUGCUCGAGUGGCGAACGGGUGUGUAACACGCGAGUAACCUGCCCUUGACUUUGGGAUAAAUUCAGGAAACUGGGGAUAAUACCGGAUAGGAGCUCCUGAUGCAUGGUGGGGGUUGGAAAGAUGCGGCGGUUUGGGAUUGACUCGCGGCUUAUCAGCCUGUUGGGCGGGUAGUGGCUUACCAGGGCUUUGACGGGUAGCCGGCAUGAGAGGGUGACCGGCCACAUUGGGACUAAGAUACGGCCCAGAAUCCUAUGGGAGGCAGCAGUGGGGAGUAUUGCACAAUGGGCGGAAGCCUGAUGCAGCAACGCCGCGUGCGGGAUGACGGCCUUCGGGUUGUAAACCGCUUUGGACUGUGACGAAGCGUGAGUGACGGUAAUGGGUAAAGAAGCACCGGCUAACUACGUG
Molecule: ribosomal RNA, 468 nt
Filed under: uncultured bacterium
Lineage: Bacteria
Description: partial 16S ribosomal RNA
Rfam family: Bacterial small subunit ribosomal RNA
Source: RNAcentral